AAAUAAGAAUCGAUAAAUCGAAGUUAGUUUCGACCUAACCUUAGGCUACGGCCCUUGUUUU
Molecule: transfer RNA, 61 nt
Filed under: Cloeon dipterum
Lineage: Eukaryota; Metazoa; Arthropoda; Insecta; Ephemeroptera; Baetidae
Description: tRNA-Arg
Source: RNAcentral